RNAcentral lists this ribosomal RNA (465 nucleotides) under Vreelandella stevensii. RNAcentral describes it as "partial 16S ribosomal RNA". It matches the Rfam family "Bacterial small subunit ribosomal RNA", at positions 338 to 795 of the family's 1533-position model. Lineage: Bacteria; Pseudomonadati; Pseudomonadota; Gammaproteobacteria; Oceanospirillales; Halomonadaceae. The record is from RNAcentral.
CCUACGGGUGGCAGCAGUGGGGAAUCUUGGACAAUGGGCGAAAGCCUGAUCCAGCCAUGCCGCGUGUGUGAAGAAGGCCUUCGGGUUGUAAAGCACUUUCAGUGGGGAAGAAAGCCUUGGGGCUAAUACCCUCGAGGAAGGACAUCACCCACAGAAGAAGCACCGGCUAACUCCGUGCCAGCAGCCGCGGUAAUACGGAGGGUGCGAGCGUUAAUCGGAAUUACUGGGCGUAAAGCGCGCGUAGGCGGUCUGAUAAGCCGGGUGUGAAAGCCCCGGGCUCAACCUGGGAACGGCAUCCGGAACUGGCAGGCUAGAGUGCAGGAGAGGAAGGUAGAAUUCCCGGUGUAGCGGUGAAAUGCGUAGAGAUCGGGAGGAAUACCAGUGGCGAAGGCGGCCUUCUGGACUGACACUGACGCUGAGGUGCGAAAGCGUGGGUAGCAAACAGGAUUAGAUACCCUAGUAGUC